Molecule: transfer RNA, 62 nt
Filed under: Epiperipatus biolleyi
Lineage: Eukaryota; Metazoa; Onychophora; Udeonychophora; Euonychophora; Peripatidae
Description: tRNA-Cys
Source: RNAcentral
UAAAUAAACUGCUGAAGCCUAAUGUGUUUGAUUUACAAAAUCAAUAUUAAAAAUUUAUUUGA